CCCUUCUGAAAAGGAUGCACGUGGCAUCCCAACUCAUGACCUCUGCCCUCUUUCCCCCUUCUGGUGCACUUUGGGUUGCUUCUGGAGGUGCCCCUCCAAGGACCCAUGUGCCCCUGGCUGGGGCACUCUCUAAGGCCGUGGACCCCUCAGGAAUGGCAGCAUCGUGGUGGACUACCUGGUCCUGCUGGAGAUGCCCUUCAGCCCCCAGCUGGAGAGCCAGUACGAGCAGGUGAAGACCACGCUGAAGGAGGGGCUGCAGAACGCCAGCCAGGAUGCGAACAGCUGCCAGGACUCCCAGACCCUGUGUUUUAAGCCUGACUCCAUCAAGGUGAACAACAACAGCAAGACAGAGCUGACCCCGGAAGGUGAGGGUGGGGUAAAGGGCUGAGUGGUCUCCCAUGGCCAUGACCCCUGCCACCAGGGACAUCUGCCCAUUGAAGCCUGUGGGCAGGGAGAGACCUUUGGGGGAGGCAAGUCAUGUGGCCUAGGGAGGCUCUUCCUGGGGCUGGUUAGUGGCUUCCACCUGAGGACAGCAGAGGCCACGAGGAGAGGGUGAGGGUGCUGGGGGUGGCCUCCCCUCAUCGAAUCCCAGGGUCUACCCCACAGCAUCCCACCUCGGAAAUGGAAUCCUCCUCGCGCAUAUUCAGAGGCACCAUUAUCAGGCCCCUGAAUAGAAUGGAUGAGGUCCUUGUCUCUGUGCAUCCCCCUCCCCAACCCCCAGCCAUCUGCCGCCGCGCCGCUCCCACGGGCUAUGAGGAGUUCUACUUCCCUCUGGUGGAGGCUACCCGGCUCCGCUGUGUCACCAAAUGCACGUCGGGCGUGGACAACGCCAUCGACUGUCACCAGGGCCAGUGCGUUCUGGAGACGAGCGGUCCCGCGUGUCGCUGCUACUCCACCGACACGCACUGGUUCUCUGGCCCGCGUUGCGAGGUGGCCGUCCACUGGAGGGCGCUGGUCGGGGGCCUGACGGCCGGCGCCGCGCUGCUGGUGCU
This 992-nucleotide long non-coding RNA is filed under the name Pan paniscus (pygmy chimpanzee). RNAcentral describes it as "lncRNA (ENSPPAG00000044367.1)". Lineage: Eukaryota; Metazoa; Chordata; Mammalia; Primates; Hominidae. The record is from RNAcentral.